GCACCCGUAGCUCAGCAGGAUAGAGCAUUAGAUUCCUAAUCUAAGGGCCAUGGGUUCGAAUCCCGUCGGGUGCA
This is a non-coding RNA of Sphingobium sp. Ant17, 74 nucleotides long. Lineage: Bacteria; Pseudomonadati; Pseudomonadota; Alphaproteobacteria; Sphingomonadales; Sphingobiaceae. The record is from Rfam.